UGUCCGCUUCGCCUUAGAGAAGAGUUUCCUAGCGGUGAGUUCCUCCCACUGGUGACCAGGAAGGUUAUCAGGUGGAAGAACUCGGCUCAACAACCCUCUCUGCCUGUAGA
Molecule: microRNA precursor, 110 nt
Filed under: Mus caroli (Ryukyu mouse)
Lineage: Eukaryota; Metazoa; Chordata; Mammalia; Rodentia; Muridae
Description: microRNA 6537 (MGP_CAROLIEiJ_G0008079.1)
Source: RNAcentral